Molecule: long non-coding RNA, 820 nt
Organism: Centruroides sculpturatus (bark scorpion)
Lineage: Eukaryota; Metazoa; Arthropoda; Arachnida; Scorpiones; Buthidae
Exons: 3
Source: RefSeq, a predicted model, not a curated record
CCCCAUUUUGUUCGAUGCGAUUUUGAAGGCUCUGUGGCAAUUUUUGUAUGCCCAUUGAUACAACCUCGCCGCCAAUUUGGAAACUCAUCAUAUGCACACUAUUCGAUAUUGCAACUUUACCGUUAAAAUUUUAUAAAUGGUGCUUCGGGAACCUCUAGGAACAAAAAUGCGUAGAUUAUUUAAAGUUAUUCCCCGAUUUUCAGUCAUGGUUUGCUCAACCGUCGUGACUGUCUCGUCGGAAUUGACACUCUCUUACCUUCCGCUUCUUUCUUCGUUGUGAAGUUUUCAGUACGUUCAGCUGCAAACUCCCUACACCACUUGUGGAAUUUCUGACAUUCUUGCACGACUCGUCAUACACUUCCAUCAAUUAGCGAUGAAUUUGAAUCGGAUUAACAUGACAUGGCGGCGAGCUAAUAUGACAUGGGCAUACAAAAACUGCCACAGAGCCUACAAAAAUGGAAUCGAUCGAAGUGGCGAUUAUAUUCAAAAACAGAUAAAGGUUCAAGUUUUAAAAUGGCGUAAACUUUAUUGAAAAAAAAAACUUUGUUUGUAUUUUUUAAAAUAUAGAAGACUUUAAUUUUGAGAUUACCCUCAUAUAUUGUUUAUUCACAAUAUCAUGGUCACAUAUACGUUUUUCAGGACGUGAUGGCAUACCAGGACGAAGGGGAAACGAUGGAACACCUGGUAUUAAAGGAGAAAAGGGACAGAAAGGGGAGAGAGGCGAUUUUCAACGACCGAUAGAAAACGUUCCAAUAAAAGAUUGUGUAUUUGAGAAAAUUGAAAAUCUACAAACUUUUCAAAUGCCAGAGAAUUUUAGGGG